GCCGGGCGGCGGUUACUGGGCAGGGCGACAAACAUGGCGGCGUCUGGGAGCAGCAGCGCUGGCCGGGCGGAUAACGGCUACGGGAGCCAGCAGCCCCGGCGGAGGAAGGGCCCGGGCGCCCUGGCCACGACCUAUCUGGUCAUUUACAACGUGGUGAUGACGGCGGGAUGGCUUGUUAUAGCAGUUGGUCUAGUCCGAGCAUAUCUGACUAAGGGUAGCUACCAUAGUCUUUACUACUCAAUAGAAAAGCCCUUGAAAUUCUUCCAAACUGGAGCUCUGCUUGAGAUUCUACAUUGUGCAUUUGGCAUUGUUCCCUCUUCUGUUGUCCUGACCGCUUUCCAAGUGAUGUCAAGGGUCUUCCUGACAUGGGCUGUAACACACAGUGUAAAGGAGGUACAGAACGAAGAUAGUGUCCUCUUAUUUGUUGUUGCCUGGACGAUCUCUGAAAUUAUCCGUUACUCCUUUUAUACAUUUAGCUUAUUAAACCACCUCCCUUACCUCAUCAAAUGGGCCAGGUACACACUGUUCAUAGUACUGUAUCCAAUGGGAGUCUCAGGCGAAUUACUCACAAUAUAUGCUGCUUUGCCCUUCGUCAGACAGGCUGGCUUGUAUUCCAUUAGUUUACCUAACAAAUACAAUUUUUCCUUUGAUUACUAUACAUUCCUGAUCCUGGUUAUGAUCUCUUAUAUUCCAACCUUCUAGUCUAUGCAGAAUGAUGCAUCGUAUCCUAAGUAAGAUUUAAACUUGAGCAGUGUUGAAUUCUACAAUCAGCGCUUAUAAUCUUCUAAUCUUUCCUCAGUUGUAUUUCCACAUGCUACAUCAGAGGAGAAAGGUACUUUCCUAUACUGAAGAACACAAGAAAUCUGAAUAAUUCCAGCUCUUUUUCAGAACUUUUCACACACCAAAAUGCUGCAGACUUUCAGUAACCCAGCACAUUUAUAUAAAAUAAACCAGGAGUGUAAAAAUUAAAUAGGAAGUUUAAAAAAAAUGUAGAAAGAAUAACUAAUGUGAUGAUUUUCUUGAAAUUUCACUAUGUAAAACACUAGAAUAUCAUUUUCAGCAUGCAUUGCUAUGAGAAAUUUAUGUGGCUUUGACUUCUUAGCCUUUUAUGUUUCUUUAAUUUAUAUGCUAACAAGACCAGUUUAUCACUUGACACCUGAAAGUUACAAAAUGAGUGAUAAGUUGAACCCACUAAGUGCAGUGCUUGAAUUGGGAUUAUAUUAUUAUUGUCAUUGCUUUUUAAAAGCGCUUGACUACAUGCCAGAAAUUGUAUGUAUUGCUGUAGAGGCAAACUAUAUUCUCUGGAAUGCUCUAAGAUUUGGCUGGGACUCCAGUAACCAGGCAGAUUGUUUAAAUCUAGCAAGAGAAUUUCCUAACUUGAAAGGCAAGUGGGAGGGAGAGCAGGGAAGCAAUUAUUGAAACUGAAGGGAAAUGUGAUUCUCUAGGAAUUUAAAAAGUACGGUGUCCUACCAGCAUAUGUUAUCUAAAGAUUUAACUGUUUAUUACCUCAAGCUCUGUUCCAGUAUUGUUCCUACAGAGCUGUAAUAUUGCUCUGAAAUAUUAAAACUGCCUUGAGUACAGCAGCCUCAGAUCACUUUUUUGAAAUACAUAGGGGGGAAAAGUGUAAUUUUAACUUUUCUGAAAUAAUUGGGUAAAGCAAUGUCAUCAGUCAUGGACCUGUACAGAGUGACACCAAGACAUGUCACUCGGUUGCUCAGUGUUUUCGUCCCUUUAUGGCUUUAAAUUAUCCCCAUAACUUCUAACUGUUGUCCACUAGCUCAUUUAACCUCUUUUGUUAACACACUUGUAAACAGAGAAGAUUCAAAUACAUUUCUGACUUUCAACUUUAAGAAUAAAUGUACACAAUCACAGUCUAAAUAUGUUCUAUACAGAGCCUUUUUCCAAAUUGUGUUUUGCCGCUUGAACUUAAAGAUGAAUAGGCAAUAAUUUCAGUGAUACUGUUAAAUCUAAUUUUAAUGAUGCUAGUAAGCUGAACAUUUCUUUUUUUAAAUGUAGUCAUUCAUAGAGGGGCAGUAUUUCCAUGAACAGAUUUAUAGUUACAUUUGUUUUAGGUUUUUCUGAAGAAGAAAAAAUCUAAAUCUUUUCAUUACUACUUUUUAUUUUUGUUGGCAAUACUGUUUCUUGUUCCAUUGAAAAAGUACAGCUGAAUUUUAUCAGUGCUCAAAAUGGUAAAGAGCUUUCGAUAUGUAAAUAGCGAAACCUUAUAAUUCAGCAGAAAUAUACCAUGGCAACACUGGGGAGGGGAGAAAACCUAGAGAUAAUAGUACUGGUCUGUUUUAGAGAAAUAUAGCAGUGUGUUUGAUUUACUGUACAAAAUAAUGUAAAUGUACGUCUUUAUUGACCAAUAAAUCUCUCCUCCUACCCCCUUCAGAUUGGCUAUCCAGGUUAAUUAUAGCCUGUGUUUUCAAAUGGAGGAACCCAAAUACAUACAUAGACACAUAAAUCACAAUGGCCUGAGUUUCACAAGUUCUGAACACUCAGAGCUCCCAUUUGAAAUCAGUGGGAAUUCUGGAUGCUCAAUUCCUUUGAAAACCAAGCCACCUCGAUUUAGAUGACUAAAUAUGGAGUUAGGAGUAACUUUAGACUCCCAUGUCUAAACAUUUUGGCCUAUGUGAAUGAUAUAUGAAAUGGGAUACGUUAGCUAUAUUGAUGGGAAGGAGGCUUGUACAAUAGUUUUAAUUAAAUGGCUUUGGGUUUGCUAAGAAGCAGAGAGAUUGCCACGAAUUUUUGAGAAUGGGGAGAAGGCUCUGUAUAAUUACCUAUUUAGUUAGAUAAGUUUUUAUAUUUUGGGAUUUUAUCACUUCUCUACCAAUAACACAAUACCGUAUAUAAAGGUAAUUGACCACACAUGUAAAUGAACUCCUACAUUUUUUUAAAAAAAAUGGAACUAGCAUUCGCAGAUGUGAAAAAUACAUUGUUUUGGUUAUAAGAAAUCUCGUCAUCAAACAAAAACCUAUUCAAGAAUUCAGUACUCCACGUUUUCAACAUGUAAAAUGCAUUCCUGCUGUUCUUACUCAGACUAAACUCCUGUUUUAGUUGGUAGAAGUUCAUCCUGAAUAAGGACUGCAGAAUCAGGCCCCAAGAUAUCUUUUUAAUAACUGGUUUCUUUGUUCAUAAUAUUAAUUUUCUUUUUAUAAAAUGAGAAUGAACAUACAUUCUGUGAAGUGUGUAUCUGUCACUGAAAUUUAAUUCAUUUAUGUGAACCUAAUAGUGGAGGGUUUCAUAGGUACUUUAUUUGGUAUAAUCUAGACAGUUUUUUCAUAAACUGUUUACUUGACUCACAUACUUUCUCCGUUCCACUGGUAUCAUCAAACUGCUACAGCAGAUAUCUGCUUCUGCGUUGAUGGUUUUCAUGAUGUGCAUAAUCGUUUGUAGACAGGUUACUAACUUGUGUCCUACCGUGCUUCUUUAUCCAAGUUUGUCAUUACUAUACAUGGAAGAAACACCAUGGUCCUUCCUAGUAGACAAUGUACACCUGGAAGGAAAUUUUGUAGAAAUUUUCAUAGUAUAAUUUACAGUAAAAUGCAAACUAAAGGUGCAGAUAAAUUGUAAUUUUUCACAAUGUGAUGCUUCUAUCAACAUUUUUUUUAUUUACCAGUGAAGAUUGGCAUUUGUGUGGACCACUCUGCAAAAUCAUUUUAAAGUAAUCUUUCAAGAUACAAAUAUUCAUGAAUAUACAUCAAAUCAGGUAUAUGUUGGUGCAUAUUGAUAUAAUGAAAUUUGGAUGAAAACUGUACGUUAUAUACAGUCGUUUUUGUAUUUUUGUAUGUUGUGAAGAAUAAAAUUGUAAUUUUAUAAGUCUUUGAUUUACUAAGAUAAUUAUAAGUUAAAUGUAUUUUUUUGUAUAUGUAGGAACCAGAUAUUACAUGGAGCUCUGAAAUACUAAGCUUAGACUUUUUAUGCAUGUUUGGAAGAUAUUUCUACCAGAUGUUAAUGUAGUGAAACAGUUUGUUCACUAAAUAUUAAUUUGUGUUGUUGCAUUGUGUAAUAAAUGGAUUCUGUGCUCUUUGCCUGGCUUUGAACUACUGACCAGUGAUACUAAUUUCUGUAAUCCAAAUAAUAAAAUUAUGGAUGAAA
Caretta caretta (loggerhead turtle) is the source of this 4098-nucleotide RNA transcript. It is a transcript of the gene named 3-hydroxyacyl-CoA dehydratase 2, with no coding region annotated. The record is from RefSeq and is a predicted model, not a curated record. Lineage: Eukaryota; Metazoa; Chordata; Testudines; Cheloniidae.